Esox lucius (northern pike) is the source of this 4807-nucleotide long non-coding RNA. Lineage: Eukaryota; Metazoa; Chordata; Actinopteri; Esociformes; Esocidae. The record is from Ensembl.
CAAGACGCAGAUGUGAACUAGGCUUGCCUGGUUUCUUGUUGAGUUUUGGAAAUGGUAGCUAGUUCAACUGGAAAAUGAAGAUAACUGCAGGGAAGAAAGAGAAGACGGAGAGCCUGAAUAAAAUAUUUACAGAAGUCCAAAGGGAUGUCAAUAGUUUAUCGAAAUGCACAGCUCCAAAGCCCAAACAGCCAACACAGGUUGUCUGUAAAGCACCAAAGGAACCUGCAGAUGUGGACAAUGCUGCCCAGAUGUUCUCUCAGCUGUAGUCCAGAAUGGCAACCUGAAUUGAAAACAUGAAUAAAAUACGGACAGUCCAUACUGCCUCAUGAACAUAAAAAUAGACCUUCAAUAACAUCAAAUGUAAUAUGACUGAUAUGGUAAUAUAUGUAAACAUAGUUUCAUUAAGAUGAGUGCAAUAGAUAAAAAAAAAGGGUUUCUGAGAGGUUUACAUGCUGUACAGUUGCAGUUUAUGAAUUCUUAAAUGUAUCUCCUUUCACAAGACUGUCCUGCCAAUGCUAUGUCCUGUAUUCAACAGCACCCAGUAUUGUUUAUUUUUAUUUUGGAUUUUCACAUUAUUAAAGUAUGGGUAAUAUGAAAUAUUGUGUAAUUUAUUGUAAGCUAUGUGGGUGUAUCUGUAAUUUUUUUAAAUUGCUAAUUCUUAUCCUUCUUGCAGACAUAUAGCUCUGUGCAACUUGCUGUAUGUCUUGUUGUCAGUAUGCUAGACACAUCCAGCUGUAACCAGUUGACAUCAGAGGUCAUGCUUUACUGAUGUGCUGCUGAUUGCCUGUCUGUCUGGAUCCAGCCUCCACUUUGGAGCCUGUAUUUAGUCGAUAAGCUUGGGGCUGUCAGAAGACAAGUGUGACUGGCAAAUGCAGCAAACACGAUUACAUUAGCUUUUUAGUUUGUAACAUGCAUUUGUCUGUUAGCUGUUUUUCUGGAAAUAGGUAUUGGUGAAACGAUAUGUAAACAGUACUGUAAAUCGCCCUGGAUAAUAGUAUUUACAAUUAUUUUGAUCUAAAUUUUAGAUUUCUUUAAAUCCUUUGUGGUGACUGUUAAUAACAUUUUCAAGAUUACAAACCUAAAAGUGUUUCAUAUGUCUCAGUGAUUGUGCUCAGUUAGGAUAAUCUGACAGCUGCUGCAUUGGUAAGCAGGCUGGCCUUAGGCAGGUACGUCCUUCUGAGACCCAAAUGGCACAAUUAACUGACAGCGGGGUGCCCUCAUGAUGCCCUGUGUAAAUAUAUUGUGCACGCAACUUAUAUUCACAAAGAUAUUAUAAGCUACCACAUAGGACAAACUUCCACUCAUACAGUGAAGUGCCAUUUAGGCUUCUUUUCCACAGCAGGGCACAUGGUGAAUUUUUACAUUUUACUUGAUAAAAUGGGGGUAUGCUUCAAUUCGUGAUUCAGCCUUGUUCUGGAAUUUCGGUAUCUCCACUUGGGAUUUUAGCUGAACCGUUGAUUGCCAUGUGGUGUGGAAGUGUGAGAAUCAUGGCACCUGUCAGUGGGUGGGAUAUAUUAGGCAGCAAGUGAACAUUCUGUCCUCAAUGUUGAUGUGUUAGAAGCAGGGAAAAUGGGCAAGCGUAAGGAUCUGAGUGACUUUGACAAGGGCCAAAUUGUGAUGGCUGGAAGACUGGGUGGGAGCAUCUCCAAAACUGCAGCCCUUGUGGGGUGUUCCUGGUCAGCAGCGGUCAGUACCUAUCAAAGGUGGUCCAAGGUAGGAAAACUGGGCGGCCAAGGCUCAUUGAUGCACGGGGGGAGAGAAGGCUGGCCCAUGUGGUCCAAUCCAACAGACGAGCUAUUGUAGCUCAAAUUGCUGAAAAAGUUAAUGCUGGUACUGAUAGAAUGGUGUCAGAACACAGUGCAUCCCAGUUUGUUGUGUAUUGGGCAGCAUAGCUGAAGACCAGUCAGGGUGCCCAUGCUGACCAGUCCACUGCUGGAAGCGCCUACAAUGGGCAAGUGAACAUCAGAACUGGACCACAGAAAAUGGGAGAAGAUGACCUGGUCUGAUAAAUCAUGUUUCUUUUUAAAUCACGUGGAUGGCCGGGUGCGUGUGCGUCGCUUAACUGGAGAACACAUGGCACCAGGAUGCACUAUGGGAAGGAGGCAAGCUGGCGGAGGCGGUGUGAUGCUUUGGGCAAUGUUCUUCUGGGAAACCUUGGGUCCUGCCAUUCAUGUGGAUGUUAUUUUGACAUGUACCACCUACCUAACCAUUGUUGCAUAAUGUUAUGGCUGAUCAGCGUAGAUGCGCAUAUUGCCAUACUGUGCAUUAGCAUCUCAAAGGUCAGGUUAAAAGUUACAUGGAAACAGUGCAAAUCCAGUGGUACAGAGUUAGAAUUCAUCAGUAAAAGCAAACUAUUAUAUCACUAAAGUAAAUUAAUUUACAUAUUACAGAAACAAGACAAAACAGACUUAUAAACUCAUCUAACAUAAUUAUAUUAAACAAACAGUAUGCCUGGGAGUUGGUAAUUAAACGGAGUGUCUAUUUGCACCCAGGUGAAUAUAGCCACACGGCAGCUAAUCGGCUAUUUACAACCACCCAAAUAAAUUACGUAAUGAGUAGCAGAUAGCUACGUGCAUCAACGGCUGCGUAACAUAAGUGGAUAGCUACAUACAUCAAAGGCAGCAGACUCCAAAGGAUACUAGUCACACGGCUUUAACAGCUGGCUCACUGCAGUAGGUAGGGCGUCAGUCUUAUAAUCUCAAGGUUGUGAGUUUGAGCCUCACAGAGGGCAUGGCUUUCACAGCAUCUCGUUGUGCUUGUUCAAUGAAAUCAAUGAAAUCUAAUAAAAAUACAAAGUUGAUAUGUGCCUCAGCAGUUGCAGGUGCCAAAGGAGGUUUCAAUUUAAAAAGGUAGGCUACAUUAAACACAAAAUAUAACCUUUUCAACAACAUUGUGUUUUCUCACUGUUUGUAUAAUUAGACUAAAAUUUUCCAGUGUGUUAACUUCUAUGGUUAGCUAUGCCCAACUAAUUGAGCAAAUGUUAGGCGUUAGCCAAAUUUAGCAAAUGUAAGCCAGUAAUAAUGGAGGCAUACAGUAAUUUUGCUAACUAGUAGCGUUAGUGCUAGGUAGCUCUAACUGGCAACACCCGGACACCUGGGUGCAAAUAUCAUCUGCCUUUAAUUCCACCCCAGAUGAAAAUAUUGUUGGCUACAGACACCUGGGUGCAAAUAGCAUCUGCCUUAAUUAAAUUAUUGUUGAUCAAGUAACAUUUUACUGAAGAGUUAUGAAUUCACAUGCACCUGUGCAUCUCACAUAAAUGAUCCAUUGGGUCCAGUACAGGAAUGUAUGAAUAAAUAUGCACUCUGGUAUGUCGCUCUGAAUGAAAUAACCUGAAAAUGACCAAUGUUAAUGGAUGUCCACACGAUGGUGCUAUUAGAAGACUAAGGGUUGAUGGGUUGUGUGAACAAGAACAUGGUGUGUGAGUGUUGUGUGUGUGUAAGACAGACAGUGAGAUACUGAAUCUAAAUGAUGGUCCAUUUGCAGUGUGUCACUCUUACGGCACAAGUGGUUUUUUUACUUUGACAAGCUAACACCCAGUGGUCACAUUUCCUGCCCUCCCCAUUGAGAAUGUACAGUGGAUAUAAAGAGUCUACACAGCCCUGUUAAUAUGCCAGGUUCUUGUGAUGUAAAAGAAUGAGAUAAAGAUAAAUCAUAUAACUUUUUCCACCUUUAAUGUGACCUAUAACGUGAACAAUUCAAUUGAAAAACAAACAAAUCUUUGAGGAGGAAAAAUAAAAAACACAAUAACCUGGUUGCAUAAGUGUGCAUACACCCUUAAACUGAUACUUUGUUGAAGCACCUUUUGAUUUUAUUACAGCACUCAGUCUUUUUGGGUAGGAGUCUAUUAGCAUGGCACAUCUUGACGUGGCAAUAUUUGCCAACUCUUCUUUGCAAAAGCACUCCAAGUCUGUCAGAUUGCGAGGACAUCCCCUGUGAAAAUGCCAGGUUUUUGUGAUGCAAAAGAAUGAGACAAAAAUAAAUCAUGUCAGAACUUUUUCCACUUUUAAUGUGACCUAUAAUGUGAACAAUUCAAUAUAAAAACGAACUGAAAUCUUCGAGGGGGAAACAAAUUAAAACCUUAACCUAUUUGCAUAAGUGUCCUCACCCUCUUAUAACUGGGACUGUGUUCAAAAUUAACCAAUCACAUUCAAACUCAUGUUGAAUAGAAGUCAUUACACACCAGCCAUCAUUUAAAGUGAUGUAACAUGUAAUGUUACAUCACUUUAAAUGUGAUGUAACUUUAUUCAUCAAAAAUAAAGUUCAGCUGUUCUUUUUUCCUGACAUUUUCCUGACAUUUUCUUAGUUGCAUCUCAGAGCAAAAGCCAUGGUCCACAGAGAGCUUCCAAAGCAUCAGAGGGAUCUCAUUGUUCGUGAUGGUAUGGGGGUACAUGGGUGACUUGCACAUCCAUGAAAGCACUGUUAAUGCUGUACAAUAUUUACAGGUUUUGGAGCGACAUAUGCUGCCAUGUCUUUUUCAGAAGGCCUUGCUUAAUUCAGCAAGACAAUUGCUGACAAUUGCUGAAAUUCGGCACGUAUUACAACAGCAUGGCUCUGUCGUAAAAGAGUCCUAAAGAGGUGCUAAACUGGCCUGCCUGUAGUCCAGACCUGUUACCCACUGAAUACAUUUGGUGCAUAAUGAAACAAAAAAUACAACAAAGGAGACCUUAAAAUGUUGAGCGGCUGAAAUGCUAUAUCAAGCAAGAAUGGGAAUAAAUUUCACUUUCCAAACUACAGCAAUUGGUCUCCUCAGUUCCUGGCAACAAAUUCUAAAUGGGCAUGUAUUUUUCCCAAAAUAAUAACAUCUUGC